GGUGAACGCUCGCUACAGGCUUAACACAUGCAAGUCGCGGGGCAGCAUGGGGGUUGCUUGCAAUCCCCGAUGGCGACCGGCGCACGGGUGAGUAACGCGUAUCCAACCUGCCCUUCACCACGGGAUAACCCGGCGAAAGUCGGACUAAUACCGUAUGUUGUCCAUUGACGGCAUCCGAUUUGGACGAAAGGUUUGGCGGUGAAGGAUGGGGAUGCGUCCGAUUAGCUGGACGGCGGGGUGACGGCCCACCGUGGCGACGAUCGGUAGGGGUUCUGAGAGGAAGGUCCCCCACACUGGAACUGAGACACGGUCCAGACUCCUACGGGAGGCAGCAGUGAGGAAUAUUGGUCAAUGGGCGUAAGCCUGAACCAGCCAAGUAGCGUGCAGGAUGACGGCCCUAUGGGUUGUAAACUGCUUUUAUGCGGGGAUAAAGUGGCCCACGUGUGGGUUUUUGCAGGUACCGCAUGAAUAAGGACCGGCUAAUUCCGUG
RNAcentral lists this ribosomal RNA (490 nucleotides) under uncultured bacterium. RNAcentral's name for it is "partial 16S ribosomal RNA". It matches the Rfam family "Bacterial small subunit ribosomal RNA", at positions 28 to 507 of the family's 1533-position model. The record is from RNAcentral.